UUUCUUGAAUAUUUGAUAGAUAUGAUGCAUUGAUGUGCGGUGAAGAUUUAAUAUUCGCGUUCCAAAAGAUUGUCUCUCUCGUGGCGUUGUCUAUGACGGCGCACAAUUCUCUAAGGAGUUCUGAGCGCAAAACUGACCUAUUUUACGAGAUUCUAUUAUAUUCUGCCUUUAAAUCCUCUAUUAUUUUUUGAUCUAUCGUUAUUUUAUUUGCUAGUGAUUUUAUGGUUUCUUUCGAUUUUAGUGAUUUUAUUCGGUUUUGAUUUGAAAUUAGGUAGGAAAAAGACGAGGUGAUGAUGAAAUUCAUUGGUUUGUCAAUCCACUGACACGUGUGUGAUGUUAAUAAUGAAUCCCGACAGGUUCUGAUCGUCUUUUUCUUUUCACACCCAAAAAAACCUACAAAUUAUCACACACUAAAUCACAUCUUUAUAUAUAUAUAUAUAUAUAUUAUAUAUAUGUAUGUACUUAAUAUGUAUGAGUAUGUUUAUGUUCUCAUUUUCUUGGUAAUGGGCAUGUGAUGAAUCAUGAAUCUCAUAACAAAUGGGUAAUUUGCGUCUGAACGUUUCAGUGAUGCUAAAUCACUAAGUUGCCAAUUACUUCAGGUAUGUUAUUUUUUCUCAUGUAUAUUAGUGACAUAUUUAGCUAUUUGAAAGAUUUAUGGACUAAGUAAAAUAUAUUAUUGUAAACAUUUUGUGAUAUUGGUUUAAUUAAUUGGGUUCUUCUGAAUUAACAAUGCUUGAUACCCAUGUGAGGUAUUUGUUUUGGACCUAGCAUGAAGUACUUUCAAGGGUUUUUGAAUUUUUUGCCUUUGGAACAUUUAAUUGUGCAAUAGUGGAGGUUGUAGGCAAUGACUUAAGUCUUAAACUUCUCUAUCUUGACAUUGGUUGCAAUAAGGUGGCUUAGUAUCAUUUAAAUCUUUACAUUUGCUACUUGUGAAGCUUGCUACUGAUGGGGAUGUGCAUAUUCUAAAUUUUAUCAUUAAUGCUCUCAGUUCCAGUUUCACUUCCUUGAAGAUAAGGUUUGCUUAAUUUUUUUUUCAGUCAUCUUCUUAUGUAUGGCAUUGUGGCUUAAGUUGUAACAAUGUUGUUUCUACGAUCUCAUUUAACCAAGUUUACUUUAUGUAACAACGUUGUGCUUUUCAGGUAGUUCUGAUUAGGAUUGAUUAGUGUUAAGUACUGGAUCUGACUCCAUUAUGUUGCCGGUGAGGAUCUCUAAUACUUGGGCUCGCUACUGAUGGGGAUGUGCAUAUUCUAAAUUUUAUCAUUAAUGCUCUCAGCUCCAGUUUCACUCUCUUGAAGAUAAGGCUUGCCUUUUUUCUUUUUCUUUUUUCCCAGUCAUCUUCUUAACAAUGUUGUUUCUAAGAUCUCAUUUAACCAAGUUUACUUUAUGUAACAAUGUUGUGUUUUUCAGGUAGUUCUCAUUAGGAUUGAUAGUGUUAAGUACUGGAUCUGAUUCUCUUAUUUUGCCGGAGGGGAUCUCUAAAAUUAUUUGUACUUGGGGUCGUUCUGAUUAGGAUUGAUAAGUGUUAAUUACUGGAUCUGACUCUCUUAUGUUGCCGGAGAGGAUCUCAAAAAUUAUUUGUACUUGGGAUCUGGCAAAGGACCAACCACAGCCCUAAGGUUUGGACUGUGAAAUGCAGCAAUGGAAAGGCGCUCUUUCUCCGAGUUCACAACGGCUCUGUGCUCAAUGCUACUGUAUUCUCCAUUGCUCAUUAUCUGCACUCAAAGAAGGUUUAACAGGUACCCACUUACAGUUUUUCUUGAUCUGAAGCCCUUGCACAUCAUUGACUUGAACCAGCAAGGUCAGUCCGGUUGCAUCCGAAUGUGGAGUGAGACCCAUGACAUUAUCUGCAAGCACACAAGGUGG
Molecule: long non-coding RNA, 1863 nt
Organism: Cornus florida
Lineage: Eukaryota; Viridiplantae; Streptophyta; Magnoliopsida; Cornales; Cornaceae
Exons: 5
Source: RefSeq, a predicted model, not a curated record